UUGGUGUAAGAGCCACAUAGACACUAGUUCAUCUGAAAUAAUAAUUUAGUAAAAUGAAUAAGAAAAUAUUUUAUUAAAAUUCAUAAGAAAUAUUUUGGUUUAAAAUGCAUACUUAGUAAUGUGUAGAUCUGUUAACAUUUAAUUAUUUUGAGCUUCCAGUCAGAUCGCACUACGUCAUAAUGCAAGCGAUUGGAUGUUUAGUUUUAGUUUGAAGUUAGAGACGUUGGAAGCAAUACAGUUUUUUGACCGUGCGUACCAUGUAACAUUUUUUAUUUUAUGUUUUGGAAGUAAACAUUUCAAAAGAAGAUCGUGGUUUGCUCGUGUUUCAAAUACUGGUUAUAAUUCGACUGACUUCAAAAAGUGGUACAGAACAAUUAGAAGCAACUAGGUGCCACUACAUUAGUCAAAAAACUCGCUAAUCUGAAACGCCAUUGGAUUACUUGGAUAAGAGGAGGACGUGGCGAGCUUGUUGUUGGAUGAGGAAACAGCGGAUUGGACUUUAGCGCCGCGAACAAGCCACAGAGCUGGGACAAGUCUGCUCAAGAGACCCGCGACGGAUCUGCAGUUUCACCGCUGUUUGUCGAGAUUUCCUCCGCCCCGCUAGCUAACGGCUAGUUGGCCUGUCAGUCAACAGAGAAGUGACGCUGCAAGCUGAAGUGUGGACUUUUUUCUUAAAAAAGACGGGAUACAAACGAACGAGGAUAAUGAGAUACUGCCCCGUGGUAGAGAGCAAGGCAUUAAGAUCAGUGGUGUGAGGAAACGUGGAGAACGAGAGCUGGGGGCAUUGAUCUGUGACUGCAGAUAGCAGAGAGGCCGUGAGG
This is a long non-coding RNA of Cyprinus carpio carpio, 821 nucleotides long. The record is from Ensembl. NCBI's taxonomy places the organism in Eukaryota, Metazoa, Chordata, Actinopteri, Cypriniformes, Cyprinidae.